GGUUAAGCGACUAAGCGUACACGGUGGAUGCCCUGGCAGUCAGAGGCGAUGAAGGACGUGCUAAUCUGCGAAAAGCGUCGGUAAGGUGAUAUGAACCGUUAUAACCGGCGAUGUCCGAAUGGGGAAACCCAGUGCAAUUCGUUGCACUAUCGUUAACUGAAUACAUAGGUUAACGAGGCGAACCGGGGGAACUGAAACAUCUAAGUACCCCGAGGAAAAGAAAUCAACCGAGAUUCCCCCAGUAGCGGCGAGCGAACGGGGAGCAGCCCAGAGUCUGAAUCAGCUUGUGUGUUAGUGGAACGGUCUGGAAAGUCCGACGGUACAGGGUGAUAGUCCCGUACACCAAAAUGCACAGGCUGUGAACUCGAAGAGUAGGGCGGGACACGUGGUAUCCUGUCUGAAUAUGGGGGACCAUCCUCCAAGGCUAAAUACUCCUGACUGACCGAUAGUGAACCAGUACCGUGAGGGAAAGGCGAAAAGAACCCCGGCGAGGGGAGUGAAAAAGAACCUGAAACCGUGUACGUACAAGCAGUGGGAGCACCUUCGGGUGUGACUGCGUACCUUUUGUAUAAUGGGUCAGCGACUUAUAUUCUGUAGCAAGGUUAACCGUAUAGGGGAGCCGCAGGGAAACCGAGUCUUAACUGGGCGUUAAGUUGCAGGGUAUAGACCCGAAACCCGGUGAUCUAGCCAUGGGCAGGUUGAAGGUUGGGUAACACUAACUGGAGGACCGAACCGACUAAUGUUGAAAAAUUAGCGGAUGACUUGUGGCUGGGGGUGAAAGGCCAAUCAAACCGGGAGAUAGCUGGUUCUCCCCGAAAGCUAUUUAGGUAGCGCCUCGUGAACUCAUCUUCGGGGGUAGAGCACUGUUUCGGCUAGGGGGUCAUCCCGACUUACCAACCCGAUGCAAACUACGAAUACCGAAGAAUGUUAUCACGGGAGACACACGGCGGGUGCUAACGUCCGUCGUGAAGAGGGAAACAACCCAGACCGCCAGCUAAGGUCCCAAAGUCAUGGUUAAGUGGGAAACGAUGUGGGAAGGCACAGACAGCCAGGAUGUUGGCUUAGAAGCAGCCAUCAUUUAAAGAAAGCGUAAUAGCUCACUGGUCGAGUCGGCCUGCGCGGAAGAUGUAACGGGGCUAAACCAUGCACCGAAGCUGCGGCAGCGACACUAUGUGUUGUUGGGUAGGGGAGCGUUCUGUAAGCCUGCGAAGGUGACCUGUGAGGGUUGCUGGAGGUAUCAGAAGUGCGAAUGCUGACAUAAGUAACGAUAAAGCGGGUGAAAAGCCCGCUCGCCGGAAGACCAAGGGUUCCUGUCCAACGUUAAUCGGGGCAGGGUGAGUCGACCCCUAAGGCGAGGCCGAAAGGCGUAGUCGAUGGGAAACAGGUUAAUAUUCCUGUACUUGGUGUUACUGCGAAGGGGGGACGGAGAAGGCUAUGUUAGCCGGGCGACGGUUGUCCCGGUUUAAGCAUGUAGGCUGGUUGUCCAGGCAAAUCCGGAUAAUCAAGGCUGAGGUGUGAUGACGAGGCACUACGGUGCUGAAGUAACAAAUGCCCUGCUUCCAGGAAAAGCCUCUAAGCAUCAGGUAACAUUAAAUCGUACCCCAAACCGACACAGGUGGUCAGGUAGAGAAUACCAAGGCGCUUGAGAGAACUCGGGUGAAGGAACUAGGCAAAAUGGUGCCGUAACUUCGGGAGAAGGCACGCUGGUGUGUAGGUGAAGUCCCUGCGGAUGGAGCUGAGACCAGUCGAAGAUACCAGCUGGCUGCAACUGUUUAUUAAAAACACAGCACUGUGCAAACACGAAAGUGGACGUAUACGGUGUGACGCCUGCCCGGUGCCGGAAGGUUAAUUGAUGGGGUUAUCCGUAAGGAGAAGCUCUUGAUCGAAGCCCCGGUAAACGGCGGCCGUAACUAUAACGGUCCUAAGGUAGCGAAAUUCCUUGUCGGGUAAGUUCCGACCUGCACGAAUGGCGUAAUGAUGGCCAGGCUGUCUCCACCCGAGACUCAGUGAAAUUGAACUCGCUGUGAAGAUGCAGUGUACCCGCGGCAAGACGGAAAGACCCCGUGAACCUUUACUAUAGCUUGACACUGAACAUUGAGCCUUGAUGUGUAGGAUAGGUGGGAGGCUUUGAAGCGUGGACGCCAGUCUGCGUGGAGCCAACCUUGAAAUACCACCCUUUAAUGUUUGAUGUUCUAACGUUGGCCCCUGACCGGGGUUGCGGACAGUGUCUGGUGGGUAGUUUGACUGGGGCGGUCUCCUCCCAAAGCGUAACGGAGGAGCACGAAGGUUAGCUAAUCCUGGUCGGACAUCAGGAGGUUAGUGCAAUGGCAUAAGCUAGCUUGACUGCGAGCGUGACGGCGCGAGCAGGUGCGAAAGCAGGUCAUAGUGAUCCGGUGGUUCUGAAUGGAAGGGCCAUCGCUCAACGGAUAAAAGGUACUCCGGGGAUAACAGGCUGAUACCGCCCAAGAGUUCAUAUCGACGGCGGUGUUUGGCACCUCGAUGUCGGCUCAUCACAUCCUGGGGCUGAAGUAGGUCCCAAGGGUAUGGCUGUUCGCCAUUUAAAGUGGUACGCGAGCUGGGUUUAGAACGUCGUGAGACAGUUCGGUCCCUAUCUGCCGUGGGCGCUGGAGAAUUGAGGGGGGCUGCUCCUAGUACGAGAGGACCGGAGUGGACGCAUCACUGGUGUUCGGGUUGUCAUGCCAAUGGCACUGCCCGGUAGCUAAAUGCGGAAGAGAUAAGUGCUGAAAGCAUCUAAGCACGAAACUUGCCCCGAGAUGAGUUCUCCCUGAGACUUUAAGUCUCCUGAAGGAACGUUAAAGACGAUGACGUUGAUAGGCCGGGUGUGUAAGCGCAGCGAUGCGUUGAGCUAACCGGUACUAAUGAACCGUGAGGCUUAACCUU
This 2901-nucleotide ribosomal RNA is filed under the name Klebsiella pneumoniae. RNAcentral's name for it is "23S ribosomal RNA". It matches the Rfam family "Bacterial large subunit ribosomal RNA". Lineage: Bacteria; Pseudomonadati; Pseudomonadota; Gammaproteobacteria; Enterobacterales; Enterobacteriaceae. The record is from RNAcentral.